GGGGGUGCAGUGCAGUGGUACAGCAUUUGCCUAAGAAGUGUGAAGCCCUGGGUUUGAUCCCCAGCACCACCA
Molecule: transfer RNA, 72 nt
Filed under: Heterocephalus glaber (naked mole-rat)
Lineage: Eukaryota; Metazoa; Chordata; Mammalia; Rodentia; Bathyergidae
Rfam family: tRNA
About the family: Transfer RNA (tRNA) molecules are approximately 80 nucleotides in length.
Source: Rfam by way of RNAcentral